Daphnia magna is the source of this 1696-nucleotide long non-coding RNA. RefSeq lists it as uncharacterized. The transcript has 6 exons. The record is from RefSeq and is a predicted model, not a curated record. NCBI's taxonomy places the organism in Eukaryota, Metazoa, Arthropoda, Branchiopoda, Diplostraca, Daphniidae.
AUGACUCUGCCCUAGUUAAAGCACGUUUAUUAUGUGUUUAGGGAUUUAACAAAUGAAGUUCAUUUGAAUUGGCCAUUCUCAGUACAAAUAGGGGCUAUGGCCGCUAUGCUAUAUAAUACUCAAGUUUAAGACCACGUUAGUGCGUUUCGAAGCAUGAACAGCAUUCGUGAACAUCCCUUUGUAGCCGUCUCAUCUAUAAAGCGUAGACUUUUCUCUGUGAGAAACAAAGGUGAUGCGUUUUCUGACCUGAUUAGUUUCACACUGUGCAGACUGCAAAAUUCUUUCUUAUGUGAAUGCAAUGGUCGGGUGUUGAAAUCCACAACGGACUAAACUUUAUGUGGAGUUCAUGAAUGAGGAUUGUUGAAAAGCCUUACGUACUGUCAGCAAGAUGGUGAGUUUCCUCGCCAUGUUAAGGUAUUGCUGUAUCUGGUGAUAUUCUCAUAAUCCAGAAAUGGUGAGUAAAGAAUGAAAUGAUGGCAGUGUUUGCCUUGAUGCCCAGAAUCCUACAGGAUAAGAAGCAUUUGGGGUAUAAGGUAGGGUUUUUCCAGAAGUUCCAAAUAAUGUUGGAGCUAUGAUGUUUAAUUAUACGCUAUACAGAAAACAUUUCCUGUUGAAAUUUUACCCACUGAACUCAUAAACUGGUUCCUUGUUUGUAGGUUUUCUCUGCCUUGUUUACAUACUGUACUUCUGAAAUUUAGAUGGCGUCUGCUCUAACCUGCGUCUUUCGAUAAUGUGCAGAGUGUGCAAAACGAGCGGAAGUUGGUUAAGGGCAUGGUUGGACUCAAAAAAUAAAAUUACAAUGCUAGUGCCACAUAGAUUGGGUUUCCUCUAUUUCCACAGAGGAAGGGGUGGGCCGUGUGUUUGGUCGGUAGGAUGGAAACCCUAUUUCGGAACAGAUAUCCUGCUGUACCUGACAUCUACCACUCUCCUGGAGACGUCCAGUGUUUUAUCCGGGGAAAACAUCUUAAGAAAUUUCGUUAUCCAAAUUUGUAGGAAUUUCUAUUACAUGCAAGUUAACAGGAGUGUUCCGUGGGAAUAAAAUUAUGGAAAGGAAUUUAGCAAAUAGAUUUUUAUUUUUUUUUAUUACUUAGCAAAUAGAAUUUCUAUCCUCAUAAUUUUGAUGGGUAAAAACAACAUAUUCCGUUCUUACUGCUCCUGUUCCAUUUAAACUAUCUAAGUUUUCAUUACCCAAUCCGCUAGUUAAUGCAAAUAUAAAUGUACUUAAAUUUCUUUAAACUUAUAAAGAACAUAGAUCACAUUUCCUUUUUUUUUCUUUUGUUGGUAGUGUUACUAGAUCUGAACAGAAUUAAUGAGUCGUACGGCCAUUAGGAGAUUCAUAUGAUUUUCUUUAAAUUUCAUAGUUAAUAUGUGUGGCCUAGAUAUUUUAAGUGUGAAAAUAAAACUUAGUAUUAUGGCAGCUGAUUAAACAUCGGCCCGACUCAAUCAGUUUUUUUUUGCCAAUCACGCAGUGCUGAUAGGAGCUAGUGGUGAGCUUGAGCUGAAGUAGAAAAACAGUGAGCAUUGAGCUGGAGCGAAGACCUCAAAUGAUCUCUGCGUACGUACAGAACGUAUGCGUUUUUCUUGUAAACAUCUGUAAAGCUGCCGCCUUCAUUUAUUUUUGUGUGUGUGAUUAUUUACGUUUAUUGUUUAUAUUACGUUUUUAUUUACUUAUGCAAUACAUUACUUUUUACCUUUA